UUCCUUGCCAACCCAACACCACUUUAACCCCAGGCCCAUUCCUCCUCCAGCCCAUUUAUCCAACACAUUAAAUCCCAACCCAAACCCAAUAAACGACCCGACCCAACUUCCCUCUCCCUCUUAACCCGCUCCGACCCAAACUCCCUCCCCGCGUCUCGUCUCCCCACGCUCUCACCCUCCUCUCUCCAUCGCGCGUGAACGAGCAGCGCAACGGACACCUGCUGUCCUGUUGCCGCGUACGCUGUCUUGCAGCACAAGACGACGCGAGGUCGUCCUUGCUUGUUCGAAGAUGAUGACACGUCGCCUUGCAAGGACGCCCAAUUCAUCUCGACCCUCCACCUCCCUUCCCGCUCGAAUCGUCCUUCCGAAUAAGGGGGGAAUUCGAAUUUCGAAUGGGGAUGGGCCUGAAAUGGGUUUUUCGGCCAGCCCUCGUCCUCUUGGAACCCUAAAAGUCUUCUAUAAAAAAAACCCCUUCCGCCUUCAGAAAACGGGGUGUUGAAAUUUUUGGUUGGGAUUUUUUUGAGAAAGAUCUAAGAGAAAUUUUCAAAAAAAAAAAUAACAGAGACAUAGUAGUGAGUUUUUUUUUAGAGAGAAAGCACAGUGAAAGGCUUAGAAGUUGUCAAGACCUUUUGAAAGGAGAACUAGUUUCGGUUUUUUGAGUUUGAUAUUCUGUUCGAAUUCCUUGGUCGCUGCUCGAGUUGGAACUUUUGUGAUUGAGGUUGUCGGUGCUCUCCUCGUUUGUCCCAGAUCGCCGCCUCGGAAACGGUCAAAAAAAAAACCAGCAGAAGCUGCUGGAAAAAUUGUUGCAGGGAUUUGAAGGAGAUGUAUACAGCAGUAUACAUGUUUUAUACACAGUUGUGCACUGAUAUACAGGUUGAAGGCGUACAUAUGGAUCCGAGUUCGAAAUCUGGUUCGAUGACAGGGAAAUUACACUCCUGAAAAGGAGUUUUCAACUUUUGAAAGUUGAAAAACAGUCUGAUAUACAGCCUGUAUACACAGAUAUACCAGAACGAUAUACUAUAGAUAUGCUUAAAAAAUAUGAUUGGCAGGGGAAUGUACAGGGACGCUUUAUUUAACUAAAAUUCGGGAUUAGGCAAUUAAUGCGGACGUAGGGUGCAGCCCGUAUACAUUAGUAUACAUUAUCAGGCGAAGAUAUACACUUGUUAAGUAAGUUUUAAAAAUGAUACAGGUACAAAUACGCAGGGAAAUACAGGGAAAAACAACGGGAAAUAUGUAUUCAAACAGGUGCAGGGAUCGAGAGGUCCAAAUGGGUCAAAUAUAUACUGUAUACAGCAUGUAUACAUUUGUAUAUACCCUUCAUGAUCUAUUUUUCAGGAAUGGGCCAGGGCCCUUCAGCAAUUUUUAACAGGCCCAAGGGGCCACAAUGUUUUUUAUGCAGGAUUUUUAAUUUGUUGAAAGGGCCCAAGUUCAUAUUUGAAAUUAGAUAGGACAGGUGGGCUUUACCCAAUGGAAUGAAUUUGGGCAAUAAGGCCCAAGUUCAAAUUAUUUCCCCUCUUUAUUUAUUACUUGCUUGAA
Molecule: long non-coding RNA, 1536 nt
Organism: Solanum lycopersicum (tomato)
Lineage: Eukaryota; Viridiplantae; Streptophyta; Magnoliopsida; Solanales; Solanaceae
Source: RefSeq, a predicted model, not a curated record